UUCAUAUAGAGAACUUGUUAGGAAUAAUUUGUUUGCGAUGCAUAUUCAUCCAAUUCAAUGAUUCUAGGGAAAUCUGAAAGUUAAUUUAAGCGGACCUAAUUAACUUGGAGUGUCGAGGUUCAUAACUUAAUGAAUUGAUAACUGGAAAUCGAUUACGUUGCAUAAAUUUCAUGUGUGGAGAAGAACCCCUUAGCCAUUCCAUCACCCAUUGAUUCAUCACAUUUAGUUCACAAUCUGUUUUAAUUUACAAUCUGUGCAUUUAGU
This 264-nucleotide long non-coding RNA is filed under the name Malus domestica (apple). RNAcentral describes it as "long non-coding RNA (MDOM_LNC018562)". Lineage: Eukaryota; Viridiplantae; Streptophyta; Magnoliopsida; Rosales; Rosaceae. The record is from RNAcentral.